CUGACAGGAACGCAGGAGUAAAACAUCCUCUGUGCAGCACUGCAUCACACUCAAUGACCGGUCCAACCCAGAGCUUUUCUCCAACCUGCAGCAGUCCCUCAGGGACCAGUGACACUACCCAGGCAAAUCAGGGUCGGGAAUGCCGCACCACCCUGCUCUUAACCACACAGCCAGUUAUAGUGCCACAUAUGCAAAAAGAUGGGGCACAAAUGCAGAGAUUCCCCCCAGAACCGAGCCCGGGCUCAGUGGAUUUGCCCAGGGCCACCCCCAGCCACCAGGGCAGUGACCCACUAUUUCCAGACGGAGACCUCCACCCGAUAUGUAACUCCUGCACCACCAGUAGAAAAUUGGGAAGUCUUGCAUGAAGCGGACCCAGUGCAAGCGGCCUCAGUUAAUCGCCAGCAUCACUGGUAGAUCAUGAACCUUCAGAGUAAGGGGGUUCAAGGGCUCCCUGAACCUCCAGAUGGCACAGAACCGCCAGCGAAUAUGGUACAAUGGGGCGCCAGGGACCGUAGCUUUCAGGUAGAGCAGAAAGUUUUAAUUUUGAAACUUGUCCAGAAU
Non-coding RNA from Pelobates cultripes (western spadefoot toad), 561 nucleotides. NCBI's taxonomy places the organism in Eukaryota, Metazoa, Chordata, Amphibia, Anura, Pelobatidae. The record is from the annotation of a GenBank genome assembly.